ACUAUGACACAACCGCUCGAAGAGGUUUUCAAAGCGAACGCUACCAUAUUCGGCGAGUCUGGUUAUAGAG
Molecule: non-coding RNA, 70 nt
Organism: Clostridiales bacterium
Lineage: Bacteria; Bacillati; Bacillota; Clostridia; Eubacteriales
Source: Rfam